GAUGAACGCUGGCGGUGUGCUUUAGGUAUGCAAGUCGAGCGAGCCACUCUUUUUGGUUAGUAUUUGUUACGAUAGUUGUAUGUACUACGUAUACAUUUUAAAAAGCCAAAAAUAUAAAUCUCUAAAAAUUUAUAUUGGUUGCACUUCAGAUUUAGUUAAACGAGUAAAACAGCAUAAUAACCUUGAAAACAUAUCAACUAGAUAUGGAAUACCAUGGAAGCUGGUUUAUUAUGAGGCAUUUUUAAGCAAAAAAGAUGCUUUAAGUCGAGAAAGAAAACUUAAAACUGGGACUGGUGCAAUUGGUUUUUUAAAACGGCGAAUUUAAUCGUCGCUUAAUAAUAAUUGAAAAGAGUGGCUAGCGGCAGACGGGUGAGUAACGCGUAAGAAUCUACCCUCAAGCGGGGAAUAACUGGUCGAAAGAUCGGCUAAUACCGCAUAAUAACUACGGUUUAAAGGGCUUAACUGCCCACUUGAGGAGGAGCUUGCGUCCUAUCAGCUUGUUGGUGAGGUAAUGGCUUACCAAGGCUAUGACGGGUAUCUGGACUGAGAGGUCGGCCAGACACAGGGGCACUGAGACACGGGCUCCACACCUACGGGUGGCAGCAACCGGGAAUAUUGGGCAAUGGACGAAAGUCUGACCCAGCGACACCGCGUGGAGGAUGAAGGCUUUAGGGUCGUAAACUCCUUUUGAUAGUCCCUUCACAGACUAUAGAAUAAGCUCUUACUAACUACGUGCCAGAAGUCUCGGUAAUACGUAGGGAGCAAGCGUUAUCCGGAUUUAUUGGGCGUAAAGAGUGUGUAGGCGUCUUUUCAAGUUCUUAUUGAAAGACUGAGGCUCAACCUCAGCAUGUGUAAGAAUACUGUUAAGAUAGAGGAUUAUUCGGGAUGCCGGAACAGUUGGUGUAGUAGUGAAAUACGUUGAUAUCAACUGGAACACCGAAGGCGAAGGCAGGCAUCUAGGAUUAUCCUGACGCUGAGACACGAAAGCUAGGGGAGCGAAAAGGAUUAGAGACCCUUGUGGUCCUAGCCGUAAACGAUGGAUACUAGCUAGUGUGAUUUAUUGCACUGGCGUAAGCUAACGCGUUAAGUAUCCCGCCUGGGGAGUACGGCCGCAAAGCUAAAACUCAAAGGAAUUGACGGGGACCCGCACAACCAGUGGAGCGUGUGGUUUAAUUCGAGACAAAGCGAAAAACCUCACCAAGGCUUGACAUGUAAGCGUUCUAUGCCUAAGAAACUAGGCAAAUCCGUAAGGAGGUUUACACAGGUGCUGCAUGGCUGUCGUCAGCUCGUGCCGUGAGGUGUUCCCUUAAGUGGGGAAACGAGUGCAACCCUUGUCUAAUGUUAAAUAUUCAUUAGAGACUGCCUCUAUUUUUUAGAGGAGGAAGGAAAGGCGGACGUCAAGUCAGCAUGGCCCUUAUGCCUUGGGCUACACACACCCUACAAUGGCGAAUAACAAAGAGUCGCAAGUUCGUGAGGACAAGCUAAUCUCAGAAAUUUCGCCUCAGUUCAGAUUGGAGUCUGCAACUCGACUCCAUGAAGUCGGAAUUGGUAGUAAUCGCGGAUCAGCGGGCCGCGGUGAAUACGUUAUCGGGUCUUGUACACACCGCCCGUCAAGGCAGCAAAGUCGAUAACUAUCGAACCUCACCCUUUUCUGUUUAAUUGUAUGUAUUUGUUGGUAAGUCAGGAAAUUCUGAUUUAUUGCUCAGGUACUGAGAUUGAACAAAAAAGGGUGGGGGAGAUAGAGAUUGAUGAUGAGGCUU
Molecule: ribosomal RNA, 1760 nt
Filed under: uncultured bacterium
Lineage: Bacteria
Description: bacterial SSU rRNA
Rfam family: Bacterial small subunit ribosomal RNA
Source: RNAcentral